This 879-nucleotide long non-coding RNA is filed under the name Brassica napus (rape). RNAcentral's name for it is "long non-coding RNA (BNAP_LNC015513)". Lineage: Eukaryota; Viridiplantae; Streptophyta; Magnoliopsida; Brassicales; Brassicaceae. The record is from RNAcentral.
CGCCACCAUUAAUCGACAACUCAGUUCAAAUCAAGCAAGUGGAAACGUCCCAUUAAUAAUGAAAGUGGGUGAGUGAGUUACUUUUUACGUUUUGGCUGAGUUAGCUUAAAGUUGUGGGUGAGUUACUUUAUACGUUUUGGCUGAGUUAGCUUAAAGUUGUGAGUGAGUUACCUUAUACGUUUUGGCUGAGUUAGCUUAAAGUUGUGACUGAGUUACCUUAUACGUUUUGGCUGAGGUAGCUUAAAGUUAUGACUGAGUUACCUUAUACGUUUUGGCUGAGUUAUCUUAAAGUUGUGACUGGGUUACCUUAUACGUUUUGGCUGAGUUUUGGCUAUGUUUUAUUAUGGCUGCAUUUCAGAAACGUUCAGAUUACUUGACGGCUGAGUUACUGUAAUACGUUAAGUCUGAGUUACAUAAAACAUAAGCUGACUUAUAUGUACAAAACAUUACUAAACAAAGAAGUAGUAGUAGAAAAGUAACGACAUUCCAACCCCACAAACAACCACAUUCCUUAAACACCGACCCUGACUCAUACAUUCUUCUCCUUUUCCCUCAGACGCCGUCUUCAUUACUUCAAUAUGUUUUGGCUGAGGUAGCUUAAAGUUAUGACUGAGUUACCUUAUACGUUUUGGCUGAGUUAUCUUAAAGUUGUGACUGGGUUACCUUAUACGUUUUGGCUGAGUUUUGGCUAUGUUUUAUUAUGGCUGCAUUUCAGAAACGUUCAGAUUACUUGACGGCUGAGUUACUGUAAUACGUUAAGUCUGAGUUACAUAAAACAUAAGCUGACUUAUAUGUACAAAACAUUACUAAACAAAGAAGUAGUAGUAGAAAAGUAACGACAUUCCAACCCCACAAACAACCACAUUCCUUAAACACCGA